This 488-nucleotide ribosomal RNA is filed under the name uncultured bacterium. Its description in RNAcentral is "bacterial SSU rRNA". It matches the Rfam family "Bacterial small subunit ribosomal RNA", at positions 1 to 507 of the family's 1533-position model. The record is from RNAcentral.
GUAGUCACGAGUUUGAUCAUGGCUCAGGAUGAACGCUGGCGGCGUGCCUAAUACAUGCAAGUCGAACGGAGAUUGUAGCAAUACGGUCUUAGUGGCGAACGGGUGAGUAACGCGUUGGUAACCUGCCCCGAAGCGUGGGAUAACGGUCCGAAAGGACCACUAAUACCACAUGUGAUCCCGAGGAAUAGAUACUUGGGAUGAAAGGAGCAAUUCGCUUCGGGAGGGACCUGCGUCCCAUCAGCUAGUUGGUAGGGUAACGGCCUACCAAGGCGAUGACGGGUAGGGGACCUGAGAGGGUGGCCCCCCACAAUGGAACUGAAACACGGUCCAUACACCUACGGGUGGCAGCAGUAGGGAAUAUUGGUUAAUGUGCGAAAGCGCGAACCAGCAACGCCGCGUGUGCGAUGAAGGCCUUCGGGUCGUAAAGCACUUUUUGUCAGGGAAGAGGAAGGACGGUACCUGCAGAAUAAGUCUCGGCUAACUACGUG